Molecule: long non-coding RNA, 3109 nt
Filed under: Exaiptasia diaphana
Lineage: Eukaryota; Metazoa; Cnidaria; Anthozoa; Actiniaria; Aiptasiidae
Description: uncharacterized LOC114576062
Source: RNAcentral
CCUAGUAAAUAUAACAAGGAAAACUUCCUUGACGUAAUGGUUAAUUUUGUAGUUUUACAGUUCAACAGCUGUGUAACACCAAACAUGAAACAGCCACAAAAUAUUUCAUGUACUCACUUCCUCCACAUCCAUACAGUCCUGUUUUGUCGCUCACUACCUUGUUAAACCUCUUUGACAGUUGUCUAGGAUGUUGUUCAGUCUGUGAAUCUAAUCAUUUCUUGAAGUUUUCUUCUAGAAAUGUUUUCAAUCUCUCAACAUAGCUGGUGACUUCUCAGCGUUUCUUAGUUUGAUGUAAAAAGGCUAAUAAUGUUCAAUCGCAAGAGCAAGUGUCCACCAAGUGGAUGGCAGCANUGUAGCUGUCAUGACAACUGGAUACACAAAUGAACAAGAAGGUAAAAAAAGCAAUUGCAGUGCAAUACAGUCUCAUGAAUGUUUUCGAGUAGUAUGGAUGAUAGAAUGAAAUGAUUGAAUUAAUGGAUGAAUGGGGAAAAUUGGAUCAAUGAUAGGAUGAAUGAUAGAGAGAAUUAAUAUCUAAUUGAAUGAUUGGAAACUGAAUGAAUAAAUGAACAAAUCAUUAAUCCAAACAACAAAGUCAAGCAUGCAAACAUUUGUCAUGAUGAUGCCAACAUCAACUUUCACAGAGGAAGCAAUUCGUAAAGAAGGCAGAUCUUCACCAAGCUGUGUUGCAAGAAGUCUCCUCUUGCAGCUGCUAUUUGGCCCCCUUCCAGGUCUCUCCACAGAGACCUGGGAGUGAGCUAAACAAUGGCUGCUAGAGAGGACUAUGUAUUGUCAGGGUUCAUGCUACUCGUUGAAGUCCUUCAAAAGUCCUGGAAUUGAAAACCUGUUUUCUGUGAUAUGAUAAGUUCUUGUGUUCAGUUUUGAGUUCUUUUCAGCAUUGUUAAUAGCUGCAAAGUGAAACACAUUGAACCAAGAAAUAUGAAUGGUCCUUCAUACCUUUAUUCUUGGGUUUCAACCACAUGAUCAAGAAUCCCCCAUGAUUAUUAAAAGAACAAAGCUAUCUCCACCAUGUUGGAUGAACAAAAAAGCAAAACAAACGAGGAAUGUUUUGUUAUCGUCAUCAAUGACAAUGAUGUAACGUGAAUCCAAUGAAUAUGCAUUAAUUCCUUGCAUAAUUUGACUGGUAUAGUAUAUCCUAGGGGUGGUGAAUUCAGAUAAAAAAAAAUUAAAUUUGAGUUUCAAAAGAUCCCUAUAGUAGAUAAGUUAUUGGAAAAUACUUUUUAUUUGAUUCUGGAGUAUUUUAUUGUCAUUGAAAAACAGUACUCAAUGUAGGUACUCAACUCUACUACUCUACUUGCUUUCACUGUACAAUGAUUUUCCAACAUUGUAUAAGUAAAGCAUCCUAUUCAAUAGUUAAGAUUAAAAAAAAAACUUCACCACCCCUAGCUUCUGAAUAAAUUAUUUCAAAAUGACAUAUUUUUUCCAUGAUUGAGUGAGGUUUAUUGUAUGAAGUUCAAAGUACUUUUUCAGCCUUCAAGCUUGAUUUGGUAGUCACUCGCUGAGGUGCUAAAACACAGAAGCGAUUGAACAAGAUGUGGGAACAUGUUGCCCACUUGAAGUGAUACAUCAGCUACAUAUACUAGACGUAUANAGCACCACAGUCAUCUCAUUUGUCCGUAUAGAUUGGUAAUGUAUAAAUAGAAGAGUCAGAGCCUUAUAGCUUGCCUUAAUGUUAUCAUACAUACAUGCAAAGAUGUAGGGUAUAUUUUACUGAUCAAAACUCUUACGUUAUUUACUUGCUCUAAAGCGUUAUAUGAUCUUUUGCCUUUACGUCAUACCCUACACUCAUGUAUUAACUGCAGUAUUCUGAUGUCAUGGAAGCUGACGGUUACUUUAAUUCAAUGAAAUAGUGGAAACCCUAUAAAAGUUCACAUUUUGUGAAUGUUAAAAAAUNACCAGAUUGACAAAUUAAAGAAGAAAUGCAUUAACGUCUUAAUGACUAUAGACUUAUACAGCAUUUGUCAGCAACUAAGCUGUAGAAGAUCAAAUACAAAUUGUUGCACAGUGUCAUAUAGUUCCUAAGAUGUCAGUCGAUAACAUUAAGGCAAGCUUGGAAUGAUAAAUCUUUNACCAAAUCAAUAUUGUUUUCCAUUUGUAUUUUACUAACAAUAUUAUUGCCAGAAUAUCACGUGCUGAACCAAGGUUUGAAUACAAAGUACUGAAAGCCUGAUGAGAUGAUACAAUGAAGCAAAAGAUUAGAUCCUGGGCAAACAUGCCUGGUUCCACCACACCCCCAUUUCCUAUCGUAAUCACCNNGUGCUAGCAUACCUUGUACAGAAUCCUGUAGAUGAACANUAUUCCAGGUUAGGAUGCCAGAAUCUUGUAAUAAUUACAUGUAAUAAUGAGAAAUAGAAUACCAAUUCUCAAGACUUGGGAAAUUUGGGCUCACAAGUCUCCAAAGUUAAAANGACAAGAUUUGAAGAGAGUGCAAUAUACAACUCACAGGGAAAGCACGUAGGGUACUGAGUAUAUCCAGGUAUAUUUCUGAGAAAUAUGAACUAAUUUCCAUCGAGUUGUACUCUUUUGAUUUGGAAAAAAAUGAAAAAAAAAAAAAAAAAAAUAGAAGCAAUCCAUGCUAUCAAGGAAUGUUUAAAAUUUUCAUAUGAAAAGACCAAAAAUGAACUCUGUUUUUCAAGUACGGCAAACUGCACAUUACAUUAUUUCCUACAGGAUUCUAUGGUAUGCUACACAUGGUUGACAUCAUAACUACACUAUAAUAAUAAACUGCAAAAAACAACACGACACAAUAUUCACACACAAAGCAAACUUGUCUAGAGUUGUCUCUGUUGCUCUUUUUUGAUAAUCAAACCAACCCAGUUACAACUGACUCCUGAUAAAGGUAAAGGUUGCAUCAGUGAAAAUCUGAUUAUUUGUAGCAAUGAUGUGGUUUGUUUCAAACCUGUUUUUCACUUGCUUCAAAAAGAUUUAUAUCCAAGAAAUGUGCUAUGGAGGACAUUGUUAUGCUUAUAAAAACAUGCAAACAGAAUGUUAAUAUUCUAUUUUUGAAGGUUCUGAAUUAAUGUUAUAAAAAAACAAACAACAAAACAAAGCAUUGCCUUAAAAAAAAAAAAAAAAAACAUGCCGUCUUUGU